Molecule: ribosomal RNA, 301 nt
Filed under: uncultured bacterium
Lineage: Bacteria
Description: partial 16S ribosomal RNA
Rfam family: Bacterial small subunit ribosomal RNA
Source: RNAcentral
CAGUCGCCACGGUAAUGCGUAGGUGGCAAGCGUUGUCCGGAAUUAUUGGGCGUAAAGGGCUCGCAGGCGGUUUCUUAAGUCUGAUGCGAAAGCCCCCGGCUCAACCGGGGAGGGUCAUUGGAAACUGGGAAACUUGAGUGCAGAAGAGGAGAGUGGAAUUCCACGUGUAGCGGUGAAAUGCGUAGAGAUGUGGAGGAGCACCAGUGGCGAAGGCGACUCUCUGGUCUGUAACUGACGCUGAGGAGCGAAAGCGUGGGGAGCGAACAGGAUUAGAUACCCCCGUAGUCCCUGUCUCUUAUAC